RNAcentral lists this ribosomal RNA (409 nucleotides) under uncultured bacterium. RNAcentral describes it as "bacterial SSU rRNA". It matches the Rfam family "Bacterial small subunit ribosomal RNA", at positions 355 to 776 of the family's 1533-position model. The record is from RNAcentral.
UGGGGAAUCUUGGGCAAUGGGCGCAAGCCUGACCCAGCGACGCCGCGUGGGGGAUGAAGGCCCUCGGGUUGUAAACCCCUUUCAGCGGGGACGAAGCGAAAGUGACGGUACCCGCAGAAGAAGCCCCGGCUAACUACGUGCCAGCAGCCGCGGUAAGACGUAGGGGGCGAGCGUUGUCCGGAUUUAUUGGGCGUAAAGCGCGCGCAGGCGGCCCGUUAAGUCGGUUGUGAAAACCCGAGGCUCAACCUCGGGCCUGCAUCCGAUACUGGCGGGCUUGAGGCAGGUAGGGGAGAGCGGAAUUCCCGGUGUAGCGGUGAAAUGCGCAGAUAUCGGGAGGAACACCGGUGGCGAAGGCGGCUCUCUGGGCCUGUCCUGACGCUCAGGCGCGAAAGCUGGGGGAGCAAACAGG